This 1311-nucleotide ribosomal RNA is filed under the name Paroster mesosturtensis. Its description in RNAcentral is "16S ribosomal RNA". The stretch from base 621 to 1311 matches the Rfam family "Archaeal large subunit ribosomal RNA", at positions 1423 to 2825 of the family's 2987-position model. The record is from RNAcentral. Lineage: Eukaryota; Metazoa; Arthropoda; Insecta; Coleoptera; Dytiscidae.
GAAAUAAAAAUAUUAUUUAAUUUGGAUUUUAUUAGAAUUUAAUAUAAAUAAUUUUAUUAAUAAUUAUUUUUAGUAUAGUUUAUAGAAAAAAUUUAAAGAUUUAUAGUUUAUUAGUAUUGUAAGAGAAUUUUGAAAUAUAGAUUUUUUAGGUUAAAGUAAAAUUAAUUUUUUGUACCUUGUGUAUCAGGGUUUAUUAAAUAAAUAUUAUAAAUUUUAAUUUUCUCGAAUUUAAGAGGGAAAAUAAAUUAUUUUUAUUAUUAUAAAAUAAAUAUAUAAAAUUAUUUAUUAGUAGUGAAAAGUUAUUCGUUCUUAAAUAUAUCUAGUUUAUCUAGAAAUGAUUUUAAUUCAGUUAAUUAAAUUUAAUUUAUUUAUUUAUUUAAAUAGAUUGAUUUAUUUAAUAAUAAUUAAAGGGAUUAGCUUUUAAUUAAAGUUUUAAAAUUUUAUAUAUGAAAUAAGAUAGGUAGGUUUAGAAAUAUUCAUCAAUUUUAGUAUGUUAUUAUUAGUUUUAUUAAUAAUAUUAUUUUUUAGAAAAAUUUAAAGUUUUAUAGAUAAGUAAUAAUUAAUAAUUAAAUAUUAGUUAUAAUGAUUAAAUUAGUAUAUUUAUAAAUAUUUAAAUUAUAUGAAGAUAUAGAUUAUUCAAAGGAAUUAGGCAAAAUAGUUUAUUCGCCUGUUUAACAAAAACAUGUCCUUUAGAGUAGAAUUUAAGGUUUAGCCUGCCCACUGAUUAAUUAAAUGGCCGCAGUAAUUUGACUGUGCAAAGGUAGCAUAAUCAUUAGUUUUUUAAUUAGAAGCUUGUAUGAAUGGUUGGACGAAAUAAGUACUGUCUUUGAUUAAUAAAUAGAAUUUAAUUUUUAAGUUAAAAAGCUUAAAUGAUUAUAAAAGACGAGAAGACCCUAUAGAUCUUUAUAAUAUUUUAUAUAUGUUUAAUUAAGAUUAUUUCAUUAUUUAUAUAAAAUACUAUUUUAUUGGGGUAAUAAAAAGAUUAGAUUAAUUCUUUAUGAUUUAUAUAUAAAUUGAUAAAUUUUUGAUCCUUUAUUAGAGAUUUUAAGAUUAAGUUACCUUAGGGAUAACAGCGUAAUUUUUUUGGAGAGUUCAUAUCGAUAAGAAAGUUUGCGACCUCGAUGUUGGAUUAAAAAUUAUUCUAGGUGAAGUAGUUUAGAACUUUGGUCUGUUCGACCAUUGAAUUUUUACAUGAUCUGAGUUCAGACCGGCGUAAGCCAGGUCGGUUUCUAUCUUUAUUGAGUUAAUAUAUUUUAGUACGAAAGGACCAAAUAUAGAAUAUAUUAGAUAUUUUUAUUUUUGAGUUAUAUU